AUUGAACGCUGGCGGCAGGCCUAACACAUGCAAGUCGAGCGGAUGAAGGGAGCUUGCUCCUGGAUUCAGCGGCGGACGGGUGAGUAAUGCCUAGGAAUCUGCCUGGUAGUGGGGGAUAACGUCCGGAAACGGGCGCUAAUACCGCAUACGUCCUGAGGGAGAAAGUGGGGGAUCUUCGGACCUCACGCUAUCAGAGGAGCCUAGGUCGGAUUAGCUAGUUGGUGGGGUAAAGGCCUACCAAGGCGACGAUCCGUAACUGGUCUGAGAGGAUGAUCAGUCACACUGGAACUGAGACACGGUCCAGACUCCUACGGGAGGCAGCAGUGGGGAAUAUUGGACAAUGGGCGAAAGCCUGAUCCAGCCAUGCCGCGUGUGUGAAGAAGGUCUUCGGAUUGUAAAGCACUUUAAGUUGGGAGGAAGGGCAGUAAGUUAAUACCUUGCUGUUUUGACGUUACCAGCAGAAUAAGCACCGGCUAACUUCGUG
This 484-nucleotide ribosomal RNA is filed under the name uncultured bacterium. RNAcentral's name for it is "partial 16S ribosomal RNA". It matches the Rfam family "Bacterial small subunit ribosomal RNA", at positions 30 to 507 of the family's 1533-position model. The record is from RNAcentral.